GACGUAGUUGAACGGAUCCUCACAAAUGCGACGUUAUCGGAACCAACCGGAAGAAGCAAUCACCGGAAAAGGAGCACACAACAUAGUAAAUAACCAACACAUCAACAUGGCAUGAUGCACAAACGAGUAUGAUGCAUGUCCGGUUUAAUGAAGCAUGGCAUGGCAAGGUGCACAAGCAGUUCUACAAAUUAAGUGGAGAUCAAUAUGCAACGAGUUGCAUAUUGACGAAACACCACAACAAGUUAUUUAGUUUGAUCUCGUUUAUGUACUCAACAAUAUUAAAUGUUGGUUAACAUGGCAAGGGGUGAAGCAUAAGGAAACUAACUAUUUAAGCAAGUUUUAAUGAGGCCGGAAGAAUAAACAACAAUUCCGGAAAAUCCCCAUGUGCACAUUUAGAAUUUGGUACUGUUCUGCCCUAAACACAAUUUUAGGGUUGUUAAACAUGCAAAGUAAGGCCACCAUGUUAAACUAGGCAAAAUUCUACCCCAUUUACAUAUAAAGUUUAUUAAAAUUGGAGUUACGGUUAUUUAGUUAUGAAAUAAAGCAUUUUAGCAUGGCAUAGGAGCAAAUUAAUGCAAACAGCAUUUUUAUCAUCUCAAACAUAGAUGAAAGUUGGAUAUUAUUAAUCUACACAAAAUUCUGAGCAAGUUUCAUAUAUAAAACAUUUUAAUCCGAUGCACGGUUUGUGAGUUAGUAAAUGCAUGAACUAGGGGGACUAAACUGUAAAACUGGCAGUCUCAGGAAUAAUAGGAAAAAUUCAGGCGCUGAAAAAAAAACACAUGACGGGCUGAAACAGAGGCCGGCCCAAGAAGAACAG
This 817-nucleotide ribosomal RNA is filed under the name Triticum aestivum (bread wheat). RNAcentral describes it as "partial small subunit ribosomal RNA". The record is from RNAcentral. Lineage: Eukaryota; Viridiplantae; Streptophyta; Magnoliopsida; Poales; Poaceae.